This 400-nucleotide ribosomal RNA is filed under the name uncultured bacterium. Its description in RNAcentral is "bacterial SSU rRNA". It matches the Rfam family "Bacterial small subunit ribosomal RNA", at positions 355 to 774 of the family's 1533-position model. The record is from RNAcentral.
UUAGGAAUCUUCCACAAUGGGCGAAAGCCUGAUGGAGCGACGCCGCGUGAGGGAUGAAGGCCUUAGGGUUGUAAACCUCUAAAAGAGGGACGAUAAUGACGGUACCUCUUGAAUAGCACCGGCUAACUCCGUGCCAGCAGCCGCGGUAAUACGGAGGGUGCAAGCGUUAUCCGGAAUCACUGGGCGUAAAGGGCGCGUAGGCGGUCUGUUAAGUCCGAUGUUAAAUCCCGGGGCUCAACCCCGGAUAAGCGUUGGAUACUGGCAGGCUAGACGGUUGGAGAGNGGAGUGGAAUUACCAGUGUAGCGGUGGAAUGCUUAGAUACUGGUAGGAACACCCAUUGCGAAGGCAGCUCGCUGGACAACACGUGACGGUGAGGCGCGAAAGUGUGGGGAGCAAACC